Long non-coding RNA from Phyllostomus discolor (pale spear-nosed bat), 292 nucleotides. RefSeq lists it as uncharacterized. Lineage: Eukaryota; Metazoa; Chordata; Mammalia; Chiroptera; Phyllostomidae. The record is from RefSeq and is a predicted model, not a curated record. The transcript has 3 exons.
GUCAGACAGGGAAUUAACAAUCAGAAAUGCCAAUGCAGUCACAGCAGACACUCUUGGAUAGUCUCUGGAGCUCACCGUUUCCCAUCCCACCUGUCCCCGCCGACCUGUGCUGAGCGUUGUCUGUGGGACUUGCUGGCACCAGCAAGGUGGGGAGGGGCCACACCUCAUUUCCGUAGUGAAACGGAAUCGUUGGGUCCUUACUCUGUAUUUUCCUCAAGUGAGUGUACAGCACUUUGUUUCUGGUUUUCCGUUCCUCUCUCAAGCAUUAAAUAAUUGAUAACCUGUUUCUUCA